This is a long non-coding RNA of Nyctereutes procyonoides (raccoon dog), 2685 nucleotides long. RefSeq lists it as uncharacterized. The transcript is spliced from 5 exons. NCBI's taxonomy places the organism in Eukaryota, Metazoa, Chordata, Mammalia, Carnivora, Canidae. The record is from RefSeq and is a predicted model, not a curated record.
GCUGCUGGGUCCCUGGGGCUGACCCCACUCCUCACCCGCCCCGUGGUAUGCGGCCCCACGGGAGGACCUCAGGAAGCUCGGACCGUGGCUGAACAACAAAGCGUUUGACUUUCGGGGGCCGCCGGGUCGGGAAAUUAGUGAGGCCGAUCAGGAAAGUCAGUCUGGCUUGCCUCGUGCUUGCCAUCAAGUCUGUGGCACUUUGUGAGAACAGCAACAGAAAAUGAAUGUACCGGGUGACACGUCUCCGAGAAGAGCUCUCCAGGUGCACGGGGCCAGGGAUGGACACGGAGCCGCAGGAGAGGUCUGUGAGCUCGCAGGUCCUGGAGCCUUCGGGCCUGCGUGCCGGCGCGGCGGGACCCCAGCAGCUCCGCGCAGAGAAGGGCGCUCGCUGUCUCACCUGCCCGGCUAGCUGGCGUGUGAGCCUCCGGCUUGAACCGCUCCCUACAGGCUCUGGGGGCAGGUGCAGCAGGUGCUCAUGGUCUAGAGGACCACCCAGCGAGGCGAACACCUAUUUCAUGCAACUGAGAGCUGAACAAACUGGAACAUUCGUGAACCAGGAGUCUGGGUGAUGGACUGUCAUCUGAGGAUGGAUUUUUAGGGAGUCUUUAGAGCCCUGUGCAUAUUUUUGGACACCUGCACAAGAUGCCCCGUGUGCAGAACGAUUUAGUAGAAAGCAUUUUGGCCUGAAAAUUAAGUUGGAAUUCUCCUGAGUUACUACUACCUUGGAGCUGACAUCGGGCAGCCCUGUGUGCUCCCCAGCUAUGCUGAGGAAUAUUUGACAAUCGAACCUAGUCGUACUUUUCAAAAUGAAAAGCCAGUAACUUGGGAAUACGUGAAAAGAUGCUCCUCUUCCCUGAUUCACAAAUGCACAUCAGAUCGAGAUGCCCUUCUCUACCAAUCACACUGGCCAAGACGAGCCAGUUUGGCCAACCGUGGUAGUGACAGGGUUGUGAAGAAGUAGGGUUCUCUACCACUGUUGGUGGUGGGCCUCAGACUUGCGUAAUUUGGUCCAGAUUUCAUUUUAUUUGGUUGGUAAUUUUACAUCGAAUAUCAUCGUCACAAGGGCAUACAUUUUGAGGCUUCCAUUUCUAAAUCUGGGGAUAUAUCCUGCAAAUAUACUCUGGCAACGCGAGCAAAGACGGUGAGCAAGGUUGUUCACUUUACAGCAGAAUGGAAUAUUAUGCUGCCAUUGAAAUGAGUAAGGCACAUUUUGUACGGACAAUAUGACAUGAUAUUUGAUUUAAACGAAAAGGCAAAAACUCGGGAUGAUGAUACACAUCUAUUCUUUGCAAAGAGGUAUUUGUAGGUGUUUGUGUAUAUGAAAAAAUUUGUGGAUGAAUGUAUAGAAAACCAUAGACUGUUGUUACGUCUGGAGAGCGUGGGGCUCUAUGUAACGGGUGGCAAGUCCUCUGGAGAUGGUAUGACAUUUGGAGUGACCAAACUUGCUCACUAUGGGGCACACGGGAUUUUUUCAUUUAAGAAAGGCAGCCCCUCCCACCAACAAAAAUCUAACCCCUCGUGGGCUCUUGUGAACAUCACGUUGGAUAAACUCAAUUCUCGAUUCCAUAAACUCUUAGACGCAUUGAUAAUGUUCCAGCCACUGGCUAAAUAUAUGUAAAAACUGCUUCACAAACUGCUAACCGCCAUAAAAACCGACCGCAAAUGAUUUAUUUCAGAUAGCACGGCUAAUUAACCCAAUAUUUAUAAGAACCAACUUCCAUUUAGAAGAAGGAAGCUUCCAGAACAUCAGGACUCAUGGCAAAUAAACAGUCAGGGUUAUUUUAUUGAGUGCCAGAUUUCAGCAAUACAGAAUCACAACGUUAAAAAGCACACGCAACAACUCCCUCCAAAUCCUCCCAGAAAGCCAGAAAGCCAGAAAACGGUGUGAAGAACCUUGAGUUGCUGGGAGAGACGGUACCUGUCACAAGGCCGGUGACAGAGGCAGGCGGGGCAGGGAGAAGGCUCUGGGCCAGCCGGCUGAAGAGCAAGGGACAGGCGUCCUUUCUCAGGGGAGCCUUCAUGCCACCUUCACUCUUUGACUCAUCCUCACUGUGACCUCUCGGCUUGCAGAUGUUGAAAGAUGUUGUACGUGUUCUGUUAUGGCAUUAAAUAACGUCUGCGCCGAGCGCCCGCCCUUCCUGCGACGCCUGCGGUCCUGUGGCAGCGACGCCUUCCCGCCUUCCCGCCUUCCAUCUCCCCAGCAGCCCGGUGUCCUGAAGCUAUCAGGCAAGCCUCCUUAGCUUAGAUCUGUGCUGCAGCCAGCUGGCCCGACGGCUUUAUGUGAGAGCUUCUUCUGGGGUUGUAGGAAAUGGGCUAGAGUGUGUGGCCUAAUGACCCUGCGGGGCUGUGGCCGGUGCCGAUUUCAAGUGCGAGUGAACACAUCGGUGAACCAGCUCUCCCACGACAGCUCCAAGGAGGUAGACGAGGAUGCGACUUCUCAGAGUCCAAAAGGCGCUACACUGCCCUUCAGGAGUCUACACUGCAGGAGGCGUGCCCGCCGCCCAGUUGCUGCCCAGGGCGAGGCAAGACAGGCUGCCCCAGAAGCAGGAGGCCCACUGACCCUACUCACCUGGCAGCGCUCUCUGCAGGGCCACAGGCCUGGGCUCAAGUCCCAGCUCCGGUGCUUAGUGCUACUAGUCCCCCCGCUUGGGGGGGUCCGUGCAGCCUUUCUGUGCCUUAGUUUUC